Molecule: small nuclear RNA, 107 nt
Organism: Nannospalax galili (Upper Galilee mountains blind mole rat)
Lineage: Eukaryota; Metazoa; Chordata; Mammalia; Rodentia; Spalacidae
Source: Ensembl
GUACUCACUUCGGCAGCACAUAUACUAAAAUUGGAACGACACAGAGAAGAUUAGCAUGGGCUCUGUGCAAGAAUGAUAUGCAAAUUUGUGAAGCAUUGAUAUUUUUA